AUUGAACGCUGGCGGCAUGCCUUACACAUGCAAGUCGAACGGCAGCACGGGUGCUUGCACCUGGUGGCGAGUGGCGAACGGGUGAGUAAUACAUCGGAACGUACCUUAUCGUGGGGGAUAACGCAGCGAAAGCUGUGCUAAUACCGCAUACGCCCUGAGGGGGAAAGCGGGGGAUCGCAAGACCUCGCGCGAUUAGAGCGGCCGAUGCCUGAUUAGCUUGUUGGUGGGGUAAAAGCCCACCAAGGCGACGAUCAGUAGCUGGUCUGAGAGGACGAUCACCCACCGUGGGACUGAGACACGGCCCAGACUCCUACGGGAGGCAGCAGUGGGGAAUUUUGGACAAUGGGGGCAACCCUGAUCCAGCAAUGCCGCGUGAGUGAAGAAGGCCUUCGGGUUGUAAAGCUCUUUUGUCAGGGAAGAAACACCGGCUCUAACACAGUCCGGGAAUGACGGUACCUGAAGAAUAAGCACCGGCUAACUACGUGCCAGCAGCCGCAGUAA
Molecule: ribosomal RNA, 501 nt
Filed under: uncultured bacterium
Lineage: Bacteria
Description: partial 16S ribosomal RNA
Rfam family: Bacterial small subunit ribosomal RNA
Source: RNAcentral